RNAcentral lists this small nuclear RNA (180 nucleotides) under Rattus norvegicus (Norway rat). RNAcentral's name for it is "7SK RNA". It matches the Rfam family "7SK RNA". Rfam says of the family: 7SK was discovered as an abundant small nuclear RNA in the mid-70s but a possible function has only recently been suggested. Two independent studies have found that 7SK RNA binds the CDK9/cyclin T complex (known as elongation factor P-TEFb). Lineage: Eukaryota; Metazoa; Chordata; Mammalia; Rodentia; Muridae. The record is from Rfam by way of RNAcentral.
GGAUGUGAAAGCAAUCAGGCUUUGGCAUCUGUCAGCCACUGACCACAGGGACUGACUCAGCUGAUGUUGCUGGCUAGGUAGACGUUCCUUUCUCCCUCCCCACUCCAUGCACACCCGCAUGGAGCUGUGCACUUGAUGGAAGACGGCACCCUCCCAAAUAGAGGAGAAACAAUUUGUCUC